This 714-nucleotide unclassified non-coding RNA is filed under the name Leishmania donovani. RNAcentral describes it as "gene:unknown". The record is from RNAcentral. Lineage: Eukaryota; Euglenozoa; Kinetoplastea; Trypanosomatida; Trypanosomatidae.
GGUCCAGUGCCCCCACUCUGUCUGGGGAGGCCGAGCAGCCCCCCCUCCACUAUCCCCGCCAAAGGCCAGCCCGCUUCUCGUGGUGACAGAGUCAUGCACCGACGACGUAGGAGGGAGGUCGGAGUGAGUCACCGCCACUGCUGUCGGCGGUCAGGUCCUGGAUGGCGCUGCGGUGGAGGCGCCUGCAACAGUGAGCACGCUUGUGCCAUCCGUGUGGUGGGUGGAGCUCCGGCGUGACUCUGGCGUGCUCCCCACCCGACCCUCACACUGCCUUGCUGGUGGGGGAGCCUGGGCCACCGCGGGCGGGAUGCGGCGGGUGGGGACGGGCAUGGUGGUGGGGGGGCGGCUGUGGGGCGGCCUGCGGGGUCAGGGGCGAGUAGAUUGUGAGGCGCGGGGCCCUUGCCGUGAUGCGUGCCUGCUGCUGCUUUUCGCGAGGCGAUGGGGCCUGCGGGCAGGGCUGUGUCGAGCGUGGGCUGGGUCAUGCUCUGUGGCAGAGGGGAACACAGGGGAACUAGAAGAUCGCUUUUGCCUUGUCUUUUUUUAUAUAUUUCCCUCUUCAUCAUCUUCAUCGGAUAGUGUGACCUCCGUUCGCAGCGGUGUCUGCGUGCGCACAUCACUCCUGUUCUCCCUGCUGAAUUGCUUAAUUUGCUCUGUUUCUCUUUCUAUGGCUUUGCUUUUUGUAGCCCCGAAGAGGGGUGUUCGACGAUCAGCUGG